AAUGAACGCUGGCGGCGUGCUUAACACAUGCAAGUCGAACGCGAAAGUCCUUCGGGAUGAGUAAAGUGGCGAACGGGUGCAUAACGCGUAGGAAUCUACCCUUGGGUGAAGGAUACCCUAGAGAAAUUUAGGCUAAUACUGCAUAAGCCGGGAAACCGGGAAAGGUGGCCUCUUGCUACCGCACAAGGAUGAGCCUGCGUACUAUUAGUUAGUUGGUGAGGUAAAGGCUCACCAAGACGAAGAUGGUUAGCUGGCCUGAGAGGGUGUACAGCCACAAUGGGACUGAGAUACGGCCCAUACUCCUACGGGAGGCAGCAGUGGGGAAUAUUGCACAAUGGGCGAAAGCCUGAUGCAGCGACGCCGCGUGGAGGAUGAAGGUUUUCGGAUUGUAAACUCCUGUUAAGUGGGAAGAAAGAACACGGGUUAAUACCCCGUGGAGAUGACGGUACCACUAGAGAAAGCACCGGCUAACUUCGUG
RNAcentral lists this ribosomal RNA (478 nucleotides) under uncultured organism. Its description in RNAcentral is "bacterial SSU rRNA". It matches the Rfam family "Bacterial small subunit ribosomal RNA", at positions 29 to 507 of the family's 1533-position model. The record is from RNAcentral.